GACUACAGGUACGGGGGUUUUGUGUUCUUUGUCGUCCUGCUAUGCGCCGUGAAAUUUAAUUAAGAUUCGGUUUUCCAUCUAUAUAUCGUGUAUAUACCAUGGAUGUGUGUACUGUUUGUGGCAUUAUUAUCAGGUCAUGUUUACAAGUAUAGUAGGUGUGGCAGCAGUUGACCUAUGGUUCCCGGAUAAAAA
This 192-nucleotide non-coding RNA is filed under the name Zea mays. The record is from RNAcentral. Lineage: Eukaryota; Viridiplantae; Streptophyta; Magnoliopsida; Poales; Poaceae.